AAGACUGACGCUCAGAUGCGAAAGCGUGGGAGCAAACAGGAUUAGAUACCCUGGUAGUCACGCCGUAAACGAUGUCUACUUGAAGGUUGUGGCCUUGAGCCGUGGCUUUCGGAGCUAACGCGUUAAGUAGACCGCCUGGGGAGUACGGUCGCAAGAUUAAAACUCAAAUGAAUUGACGGGGGCCCGCACAAGCGGUGGAGCAUGUGGUUUAAUUCGAUGCAACGCGAAGAACCUUACCUACUCUUGACAUCCACAGAAGAGACCAGAGAUGGACUUGUGCCUUCGGGAACUGUGAGACAGGUGCUGCAUGGCUGUCGUCAGCUCGUGUUGUGAAAUGUUGGGUUAAGUCCCGCAACGAGCGCAACCCUUAUCCUUGUUUGCCAGCACGUAAUGGUGGGAACUCCAGGGAGACUGCCGGUGAUAAACCGGAGGAAGGUGGGGACGACGUCAAGUCAUCAUGGCCCUUACGAGUAGGGCUACACACGUGCUACAAUGGCGUAUACAGAGGGCUGCCAACCAGCGAUGGUGAGCGAAUCCCACAAAGUACGUCGUAGUCCGGAUCGGAGUCUGCAACUCGACUCCGUGAAGUCGGAAUCGCUAGUAAUCGUGAAUCAGAAUGUCACGGUGAAUACGUUCCCGGGCCUUGUACACACCGCCCGUCACACCAUGGGAGUGGGCUGCACCAGAAGUAGAUAGCUUAACCUUCGGGAGGGCGUUUACCACGGUGUGGUUCAUGACUGGGGUGAAGUCGUAACAAGGUAAC
Molecule: ribosomal RNA, 763 nt
Filed under: uncultured bacterium
Lineage: Bacteria
Description: bacterial SSU rRNA
Rfam family: Bacterial small subunit ribosomal RNA
Source: RNAcentral